GGGCUUAUAGUUUAGUUGGUAAAACAGGCCCCUCAUAAGGGUUAGAGCGUAGGUUCGAGUCCUACUAAGCCUA
RNAcentral lists this transfer RNA (73 nucleotides) under Telonemida sp. RNAcentral describes it as "tRNA-Met". It matches the Rfam family "tRNA". Rfam says of the family: Transfer RNA (tRNA) molecules are approximately 80 nucleotides in length. Their secondary structure includes four short double-helical elements and three loops (D, anti-codon, and T loops). Further hydrogen bonds mediate the characteristic L-shaped molecular structure. tRNAs have two regions of fundamental functional importance: the anti-codon, which is responsible for specific mRNA codon recognition, and the 3' end, to which the tRNAs corresponding amino acid is attached (by aminoacyl-tRNA synthetases). tRNAs cope with the degeneracy of the genetic code in two manners: having more than one tRNA (with a specific anti-codon) for a particular amino acid; and 'wobble' base-pairing, i.e. permitting non-standard base-pairing at the 3rd anti-codon position. RNAcentral also lists the same sequence under 1 other name. The record is from RNAcentral. Lineage: Eukaryota; Telonemia; Telonemida.